Molecule: ribosomal RNA, 687 nt
Filed under: uncultured Bacteroidales bacterium
Lineage: Bacteria; Pseudomonadati; Bacteroidota; Bacteroidia; Bacteroidales
Description: bacterial SSU rRNA
Rfam family: Bacterial small subunit ribosomal RNA
Source: RNAcentral
GUCGAGGGGCAGCAUGGUCUUAGCUUGCUAAGGCCGAUGGCGACCGGCGCACGGGUGAGUAACACGUAUCCAACCUGCCGUCUACUCUUGGACAGCCUUCUGAAAGGAAGAUUAAUACAAGAUGGCAUCAUGAGUCCGCAUGUUCACAUGAUUAAAGGUAUUCCGGUAGACGAUGGGGAUGCGUUCCAUUAGAUAGUAGGCGGGGUAACGGCCCACCUAGUCUUCGAUGGAUAGGGGUUCUGAGAGGAAGGUCCCCCACAUUGGAACUGAGACACGGUCCAAACUCCUACGGGAGGCAGCAGUGAGGAAUAUUGGUCAAUGGGCGAGAGCCUGAACCAGCCAAGUAGCGUGAAGGAUGACUGCCCUAUGGGUUGUAAACUUCUUUUAUAAAGGAAUAAAGUCGGGUAUGCAUACCCGUUUGCAUGUACUUUAUGAAUAAGGAUCGGCUAACUCCGUGCCAGCAGCCGCGGUAAUACGGAGGAUCCGAGCGUUAUCCGGAUUUAUUGGGUUUAAAGGGAGCGUAGAUGGAUGUUUAAGUCAGUUGUGAAAGUUUGCGGCUCAACCGUAAAAUUGCAGUUGAUACUGGAUAUCUUGAGUGCAGUUGAGGCAGGCGGAAUUCGUGGUGUAGCGGUGAAAUGCUUAGAUAUCACGAAGAACUCCGAUUGCGAAGGCAGCCUGCUAAGCUGC